RNAcentral lists this ribosomal RNA (170 nucleotides) under uncultured bacterium. Its description in RNAcentral is "partial 16S ribosomal RNA". It matches the Rfam family "Bacterial small subunit ribosomal RNA", at positions 338 to 525 of the family's 1533-position model. The record is from RNAcentral.
CCUACGGGAGGCAGCAGUGAGGGAUCUUGCGCAAUGGGCGAAAGCCUGACGCAGCAACGCCGCGUGCGGGAAGACGGCCUUCGGGUUGUAAACCGCUUUCAGCAGGGACGAAAUUGACGGUACCUGCAGAAGAAGCUCCGGCCAACUACGUGCCAGCAGCCGCGGUAAUA